CAGCUUCUAACUCUGGAGAUGUACUACGGUGUCAGCUGUUCACUACCAAUGAACUAAGGGUUGCUCAAAUAGUAACACUCCAUGACCACAGCAUAGACUUGUUUGCUCCAUCUACGUCGUGUGUGAUGGUCCAUUGAUGGAUAACGACAGGCUGGAGCCGGACCAGUAUCCCCGAACCUGCCGAGUUCAACAUUUUCACCAUCAAGGGCUUCAGAUUCAUUACCACCGAACAGCUGAUACAGUUAUGAAGCUCUGUUAAGCAGAAACAAAAAUGGAUUCAGAGGAAGUCCCCGAAAUUAAUUUAACACUCAACAUUACUGCUCAAUAUCUGGAGGAAUAUUCGUCCAACUGCACUCAGAACCUACGUAAUGUCCACUAUUUUUACCGGACUGGUCAGCUGGUGUUUCUGUUCUUGCUGUUAUGUUUCAUUACAAGUGGAAACUUAAUCCUGUUAGGAGCUGUGACACUAUCCCGAGCUGAGAAACGAUCCAGAAUGAAUUUCUUCAUAAUGCACUUAGCCAUUGCAGAUUUAUUAAAUGGAUUCCUCGGUGUACUUCCGGAGCUUGUGUGGAAGUUUACAGUGGUCUGGUACGGCGGACCAGUUUUAUGCAAAAUUAUCCCAUUCAUUCGAGCUGUCAUCACAUUAUUGUCAACAUUUAUUUUGGUCUCACUCAGUAUUGAUCGUCUCCAUGCAAUUGCAAGACCAAUGAGAUUUUCACAAAGCUCUCGCCUCAGCAAGCUAUUGGUGACCAGUGCAUGGGUGUUUGCAGUGAUUUUACCAACUCCUCUGAUGAUAUUUACAGAACAAAUAGACAUAUGUAUUGAUAAUUAUCAAUGCUGGAUGAACCUCCCAAAGUAUAUGUGGAAGAUAUACUUUACUAUUGUGAGCUUUGUAGCAUUAUUCAUCCCGGCCCUCUUGAUAUUGUUUUGCUAUGUUACAAUUAUUUACAUCAUUUGGCAAAAUGGCAAGAAUGAAUGGAAACUCAGAGCUGUAGGAAAUCACAGUUGGCGGAAUGGUGGAGAUGGUAAGAGAGAAGAAAGUAUCACUUCCAACAGCGGACAUCGUUUUGAAUAUGACACUCAUUACAGUAGAAAGACUCACAUCCCACAAGCUAGAAUCAGGACAAUCAAAAUGACAUUUCUCAUUGUUUUAGUUUUCAUUCUGUGUUGGAGCCCCUACAUGAUCUACGACUUAUUGCAAGUAUACGACCUCCUGGAAGAAAAUGUCGCUGUUGCUACAUUUGUACAAAGUUUAGCUCCACUAAACAGUGCAGCAAAUCCUAUUAUAUAUGGGAUUUUUACAACACGAAUUUGUAAGAGCCUGAGGAAAAUGAAACGGAUUAAAAAUGGAGUUGGUAUGGGUAGAAUGAAGUACUGUAUGUCAAGACGACAAACUCAGCGGACGUCUACCUUCUAUACAGAUAUAAGCUCUGUUCGUGAAGCAAUGCAGAAACUUUCUUGUGGCUCUAACACAUCUUUUCCUAAAGUGACUUGCUCCAACAGUAAAAUGGAUGUUUCACAAAAUGCAGCUGCUAAUGAAUUCCAACCGAUAUCUCGAACGGUCAGCAGAAAUAUAUAAACUUUGGUUGACUCAGGAUCUAAAUAAUAAUAGGUGUAGAGAAGCAUGUGUGAAACUUCAAAUGUUCUAUAAACUACUAAUAACAUGGACAAAAAAAAGGAAGGAAAAAUAAGAAGCGUGGCUGUGCGGUUAGAAGCUUGCUUCCCAACCACAUUGUUCCGGAAUUAGUGGCACCUCGGGUAAGUGAUUACUCUCUCACGACCACAUAAUAUCAUAUCGGGAGAUACGAUCUUCAAAAAAUGUUCACAAAGCAGGCAAUUACACUUACCUAAACUGUCGUUCGGUUUAACACAACUCGGCUCUUGUAUAGAUAUAGCAGAGUCAACUCUGUUGCAAACAUCCGGACCAGAUCAGAGGAUAAGUAACUCAAUAUCUUGAUACACUACUUCCUACUACAGUGACAUAAGCCUUUCUUAUUACCUUCUAUAUUCACAGAGAUCCUGUAAAGUUUAUGGACACCGAUCUUCUACCUCUGUCGAAACUAUAAAACAAAUUACGUGGAUAAAUUCUUCAGAUUUUGAUUUCUGCAGAGUCUAUAUUUAUUGUGAGCAGGGUUAUUUAUUGUUGUUGUUGUUGAUGUUAUCUAUUAUUUGUAUUUGAAGUAAAAUACAUUUGAAGAGGCCUCCCUACUCUUGAAUUGUUUUGAGGUAUUCUUCAAAGUGAAAUGUUAAAUAUCUGCAUGUACUCUAUGGUACACCAAAACUACAUAAGGUCCACAGGAUUAUCGCUCAGACGCAGAUGCACUCUGCAUCGACAGCAGAUUGCAUUCCAAGAAUACAGAAUGAUACCCUUUAGUGAACAUAUUGAAAAAUGCGCAAAAUAAAUGCUACCACAAUUUGUAAUCUUUCCAUUCUAUCAAUGUGCCAUUGGAACACCAACACAAGUUAGAUUAAAUAAGCAAACCUUCUUCAUUGAAAAAUAUAAGCCAAAACUUAUCCAUUUCUAACAUUUUUAAAUAAGGACACUCACCUCAUUGAAAAAAUACAAAGCAAAACCUAACCACUUGUAACAUUUUAUUCCUUCUGAACCAGAUCAUGUUAAAUUAAUCAAACCUAGUCAUUCCCAACAUUUUUUAUUAUCUCCCUUAUACCGGAAAAAUUCCUGAUUACCUUCCCCUGUCCGGAACUCAUUAUUUCACGUCAUAGCGAAGACAUGACACGAUAUAGGUAAAGAAAUUUGAGAAAUUUGAAAAAAAAAUACGAAUCCGGUUAUUUCUCCAAAAAUAAUGUUACUAUACUAAAAAUUUUAUAACAUUUUUCAAACAUAACGAUUUAAAUAUAUACUUUAUCCAUAUAACACAAGCCUUCUGCAGUUUUUUUCACUCUUUUUUGUCUUUUAUAUAUAAUAUAUGCACACACACACACACACACACAUAUAUAUAUGAUAACGACUUGUCACUCCUCCAACUUUGCACAGGGAUAAACUUAUUUAUAUUAUAUCAAGUAUCCAGUUUAAUGUAAGGUAUACCAUAUUACCAUAUGGAUACAUCCUCAGUCCAAAGAGUGGUAUUUAACAGAUUUUGCAAUUGAUGUAGUGGAUUUUGGUAAUAUUUUGGACUUGUUAAAGCCAAAAUUAAAAUGACGAUACAUCCUAAGCACAGACGGUCAAAGAACAAAUCCCUACCAAAAAGAAUCAAUGUAGGAGAGCUUAAAGAUCUUGAGUUGUGGGAAUUUUAGCAGGAACCGAUUCAGGAUCCGUCAUCAUAGGGUGAAUUAGAAAAUAAUUUACAUGAUAUCUCUUCAGAAUUCCUUGGAUUUGAAAAACCUGAUAGAGGGGAUUAAUUUUACAAAAAUAAUACAGAGAUAACUCAACUACUUGAGCAAAAGUCUGCACUCAGAAAAUCACUCUAGAUUAAUUUAUUCUCUAACAGUCUCAAAAACACAAGAGAAGCUAAAACGAAUUAAAACAGGGGUACAGAGAGCAAUAAGAGGAAUGGAGUAUGAAAGAAAAUUGACAGAGGAGUUUGUCAAAAGAUAUUCAAUCAGAAGCUGAUUACCAUGAUGCUAAAGAGUUUUAUACUCAUAAAAAAAAGGCAUAUGACCCUGAAGCUACUAAAGUAAACAGCAACAGCUUUGCUUGAAUGCAAACGUGUAAUGUUUGCUCUUUACGUUUCUUUCUUAUUCUUUAUAUCAAUAGAAGCUAUUGUCAAAUGAUGGAAGGAAACUUUUCUAAUUUAUUAAUCCGAAAUUCUAAUGUCAGUGGUGAUAUCGACUCCAAUCUUCAUCACAUAUUAAUCAUUUAUUAAUUGGAUAAUAUUCCUUUAGUUGAAGAGGUUCAAAUCUCUAUUAAUAAACUUAAUCCUGGAAAAGUGCCAGGAAUAGAUGGAAUCACAAGUUAGGAGCAGUACCAAACGCUUGGUUUGAUGGUGUUAUAUUUCCUGUUUAUAAGGGGAAAAGAGUGGUUGAUGAGUAUAAAUAUUCAAGAGGAAUCAUAUCCUUAUCUUCUGUGGGAAAAAUAUUUACUGGGCUUCUCUUUGCACAAUUAAACGAUAAGAUUUCACCGAAUGUUCUUUCAGAAUCUUAAUGUGGUUUUAGACCAAAUACGGAGCCAUGUGUAUGAUGUUUUCUACAUGUCACGCGCAACAAAAAUGUCGUAAAUAAAAUCUAUAUUUAGUCCAGAGUUUUGUCGAUUUCACAAUGGCCUUUGGCACUGUAAAUAGGCACGUAUAACUGGAAGUUUUACGUAAGCUUGGUGCCCUGUAGGUUUUGUAAACAUGAGGUCUGGAGAACUUUUCGUUUGUACUUGAAAGUACAUUCAAAGGUUGCAGGGAAGAUGUAUAUAUUCAUUACAUAAUAACCGGUAUAUUAGUUAAUUUGAAAAGGUUUUCAGGGAAAACAAAAAUGUUUACCUCUUUAAUAAGAGAUUUAUUGUAUGCAGAUGGUUGUGACUUGGUAACCUGUUCAAUCAGUGACACGCAGCACCUAAUGCUUAAAUUGAUAAAUCCUGUAAACUUUAUCUAAAUUUAUUUGGGUUUACAAUAAAUUUACAUAAAGCUGUUGCUAUUUCAAACAGCUUCCAGCCCAAAUUGAAUGUUAUGGACGAAUAUGUCUAUCUUGGAAUUGGGUGGACUUCAUUAAACUAUGAAAUAGCGAACCGUUUCAGGCUUUCAAGAAUUUUGAAAGGAAGGACAUGCUUGGUCUAAUAGAGAUAUUACAGGGAACACAAAGGUUACAGUGUAUAGGGUGUGUGUGCUUUCAACCUUUCUACUCACGUGAGACGUGAGUAGCAUAUAGGAAGAAGGUUUAUUUACAUGAACGAUUUCAUUAGCGAUGUUUGCGCUCAGUAUUAAAAAUGAAAUGGGUGUGCAAGGAACCGGAUUCUGAAGUAGUUGAGCGUUCUGGUAUACUCUUUUACUUGUUUCAGUCAUUUGACUGUGGCUAUGCUAGAGCACCGCAUUUAGUCUAGCAAAUCGACCCCAGGACUUAUUCUUUGGAUGCCUAGUACUUAUUCUAUCGGUCUCUUUUGCCGAACCGAUAAGUUACGGGGACGUAAACACACCACCAUCGGUUGUCAAGCGAUGUCGGGGGGACAAACACAGACACACAAACAUAUACACACACAUACA
Unclassified non-coding RNA from Octopus bimaculoides (California two-spot octopus), 5144 nucleotides. The record is from RefSeq and is a predicted model, not a curated record. Lineage: Eukaryota; Metazoa; Mollusca; Cephalopoda; Octopoda; Octopodidae.